Molecule: long non-coding RNA, 1025 nt
Organism: Ictalurus punctatus (channel catfish)
Lineage: Eukaryota; Metazoa; Chordata; Actinopteri; Siluriformes; Ictaluridae
Source: Ensembl
UGCCACCCUUUUAGUCUUUACUACUUAAUCUUUAAUACUUUGUGCUACCUCCCUUUGCCAAGAUAACAGCUGAGUCUUCUCCUAUAAUGACUGAUUAGGUUGGAGAAUACGUGGCAAGGGAUCUGAGACCAUUCCUCCAUACAGAAUCUCUCCAGAUCCUUCACAUUUCCAGGUCCACGCUGGCAGUGGAGGACACUGUAGAUUACUUCAUGUCAUGGAGAUUGGUAACAACAUGGAAUAAAAUUGUAUUGUACUUCAUUCAAGGAAUGUAAAUGUUAGUUUACUAAUCAAUUUUUAGGAAAAUCAGAUUUUCUUUUUCUUUCUUUUUUUAUAUACAAAAAAAAAAACUGAACAAUGAAUGACUGUGCCAAAGUGCACAAAGCCUUCAUAACCAGCCAGCUAACAUCAUAUUUCUUUAUGCAUAAUAAAGCCAUCUGUGAGCGCGUUAUCUGGGUAGGUGUGUGCUAUGGCAGUGCAUUUUCUGAUGUGUAAUAUGCAAAUAUUAUUCAAGUGUUUAGUGGUUCUAGAAUGCAUUUAAGUUUUCAGUUCAGCAAGAGAGACCAUUUCUCUUUUUUGUUUUUGCUCGUUUUGAAUUGCUUUCUUAUAAUGUAAAUUAGGUGUCAUGUACUGUAUAUACAUAUUAAUAUGAUAUGUCUCUUGACAAAAUAAAAGUUACUGUCUGUCUCCUCGCGGAGGACUGUGUGCUAAAAUGAAUUUUAUAAUACAAGUAUAAACUAAUGUAGGGCCUCUGAUUUCAUUUUGUGCUGCAGCAGGAAAUGUACUUUUCAAAUCUCUUGCGUUCCAAAAAUUCUCAGGCUUAAAAGCAUAUCAACCAAUCUACAGGUGCAUCACAAUAAAUUAGAAUAUCCUGGAAUUUUUUUCUUUGUAAUUCAAUUCAAAAAGUGGAACUUUCAUAUUUUCUAGAUUCAUUAAACAAAGUGAAAUGUUUCAAGACUUUUUUGUUGUUUUAAUCUUGAUGAUUACGGCUUGCCAGUCGUGUGUAAAAUGAAGAUUGGAGCAUCACU